AGGAAUAUUGGUCAAUGGACGAGAGUCUGAACCAGCCAAGUAGCGUGAAGGAUGACUGCCCUAUGGGUUGUAAACUUCUUUUAUACGGGAAUAAAGUUAGCCACGUGUGGCUUUUUGUAUGUACCGUAUGAAUAAGGAUCGGCUAACUCCGUGCCAGCAGCCGCGGUAAUACGGAGGAUCCGAGCGUUAUCCGGAUUUAUUGGGUUUAAAGGGAGCGUAGGCGGGUUGUUAAGUCAGUUGUGAAAGUUUGCGGCUCAACCGUAAAAUUGCAGUUGAUACUGGCGACCUUGAGUGCAACAGAGGUAGGCGGAAUUCGUGGUGUAGCGGUGAAAUGCUUAGAUAUCACGAAGAACUCCGAUUGCGAAGGCAGCUUACUGGAUUGUAACUGACGCUGAUGCUCGAAAGUGUGGAUAUCAAACAGGAUUAGAUACCCUGGUAGUCCACACAGUAAACGAUGAAUACUCGCUGUUGGCGAUAUACGGUCAGCGGCCAAGCGAAAGCAUUAAGUAUUCCACCUGGGGAGUACGCCGGCAACGGUGAAACUCAAAGGAAUUGACGGGGGCCCGCACAAGCGGAGGAACAUGUGGUUUAAUUCGAUGAUACGCGAGGAACCUUACCCGGGCUUAAAUUGCAACUGACUGAACCGGAAACGGUUCUUUCUUCGGACAGUUGUGAAGGUGCUGCAUGGUUGUCGUCAGCUCGUGCCGUGAGGUGUCGGCUUAAGUGCCAUAACGAGCGCAACCCUUAUCGAUAGUUACUAGCAGGUCAUGCUGAGGACUCUAUUGAGACUGCCGUCGUAAGAUGUGAGGAAGGUGGGGAUGACGUCAAAUCAGCACGGCCCUUACGUCCGGGGCUACACACGUGUUACAAUGGGGGGUACAGAAGGCAGCUACACGGCGACGUGGUGCUAAUCCCGAAAGCCUCUCUCAGUUCGGAUUGGAGUCUGCAACCCGACUCCAUGAAGCUGGAUUCGCUAGUAAUCGCGCAUCAGCCACGGCGCGGUGAAUACGUUCCCG
This 1016-nucleotide ribosomal RNA is filed under the name uncultured bacterium. RNAcentral's name for it is "bacterial SSU rRNA". It matches the Rfam family "Bacterial small subunit ribosomal RNA", at positions 357 to 1376 of the family's 1533-position model. The record is from RNAcentral.